UAGAUGCUAUUAAUAUUCUUUUUUUUACAGAUAAGGAAACUGAAAUUCAGAGAAGUUAACUUACUUGCCCAGGGUCACAUAGUUAGUAACGCUGCUGUUAAUUACUGUGCUAUGCUGGCUCUGGAAAUGUUUGAGGAAUCAUAAUCUCUAGUUAAUGAAAUUGAGUCUGAUAGUUGUUACUAUUUAAUAUGAUCAACAACUUCUGGCCAUACAUCCAACAAGUAAAUCAGGAACUUAAAUUCCUACAAAGAAGUAAUAUUCACUAGCAGUAUGACUGAAUUUUGGAAGAUAGUGUGCAGUGCCAGCUUUUAUCCUAGAAAGACUACCUCCAAAGGAACUUCACAGAGUGGCAUUUUUGGUGAAUUACCAUUGAUCAGAGUCCAUUUUUCAACCUCAAAGAUGUAGAAAAAAGAUCCGUAGAUCAAGCAGACCCUUAGAAACAGAGUAGGAAUAAUAAAAUUGGCCCAAAACUGAGGUGUAAACUAAAAUGCUUGUUUGCUUACCAAAGGGACUAUGUCUUUGUAGUGAUUGAAGUGCUGGGUCCCUCCUUUCUGAGAAUUGAGGAGUCCAGAAAAACAGAUUAAUAGUUAAAUGAUUAUUUGUGAACAUAAAAAUAGAGCCAGGGAAAGUGUAUCAUUUUGAGGAUUGCCUUAGCCAUGGUCCUAAUGAGACCUCAUGAAUGAACUGUCUUUCUCCAGAGAAAUCACUCAGAAUGCUUUUUUGCCUCCGUCUUUUGGUUAUACUUCCUGAAGUAUACUAACUAUAGUAAGGAGAGAGGUGUAAUGCCUCUCCUUUACAAACGAGGAGAAGAGUGUUUGAGCAGAGGGAAUGUGGAAAAGGAGAAUGGUAAUGAAAUAUUUGCCACAGGAACCCUUUCAGGUAGAUCAGUUUAGUAAAGAAUACAUUUAUCUAGAAGAUGAAGAGCUGGAAAUUGAGUCACUUAAAAUGAUCUAUACCUGCAUAUCUCUUUAAAGGAGUUUAUGUACCCUAGAGCCCACAAAUUCCUUAGUUUGAGGAAUUAUGGCAUUUGUUUUUAUCUUUGUAGAUAUUGGCUUACUUUCUUUGGAUUUUCAUUCAUGCAAUAAAUACUUAUUCAUUGUCUAUUUACUAGAAUACUGUGUUUUAUAUCUGAUUUCCAGUUGCUUAGUAAAUACAUGAAUUGAAUUGAAUAUUUGUUGAAUGUGCCUAUUAAAUAGAUUUCCAAGCUAGUUCCUUCCAUAAUUUUUGUAGUUAAAUGGACUUUAUAUGUCUUGCCAUGAGACCUAUUUGAAAUAUUAUUUUGAUAAGAAAAUGCUAUCUGAGUAGAAAAUGGUACAGAUAACAUAUUUAGGAAUGGGCAAGGAUCUUCCUGUGAUUGGGUGAAAAAGCCGUACUUAAACACUCUCCCUCUUUCCCAUAGAGUGUGCUCUGAUAUUUCAAAAGAAUGUCAAAACCAGUGAUUAUUCCUUCAGGAAUAUAAAUGUAUUUGCUGUCAAUUUCAGAAAAGUUGUAGUAACCUGAAGAAGAGACUUUCUGUUUUGUGCUAGAGAUAACAUGGGACAUCCUUUAGGGUAGCAUCAUAAACAUAACUCACAGUCAUCUAUAGAUAAUGAAUAUGAUAAUUUUGAGAUUCACAAAGAGAGGGAACAAGAUACCUGAGUAAAAAAUCAAGAAAGGAAAAUAAAGAUAUGGAGAGACACAUUUAUUUAUUUAAGGCUCUACUGUGUUUCAUAAUGGUUGGAUUCAUUUGCAUGUUAUUUUGUUUCAAAUAAGCAUGGAUAUAGUGGGCAAGAUUGACUAUGGAAGGCUGUAUUGAGCUCUUAGAAAAUGGUAGAGGGAGAAAGUUUGAUUUAUACAUUGUACAUAAUUUUAGGGGGCAAGAAAGGAAAUAUGGAAUGAUAUUGCUGUAGAUGUUUCUUCAUUUUGGCCACUAGAUGGUGACAUUGUAUAAAAACAGCUUGGUUGUAGAAGGUAAGAUACUCAAAAUUUGGUGUGGGAUUGGAUAGCUGUAUUUAACAAGUAAGCCCAAGAGUGUCACUUAAUUUUUUUAUAUUCGUCAUUCAGCCUUGUAGCAUUUUUGGCGAAUUUAUUGAACUUCUCUUUUUGGUAUUUAAUUUAUAUGUGUAUACUAUCCUGAAGUAUUUUGUUAAUAUCUCUGUGCCUAGCAUAUUUGGUGAUGAUAAACUAUAUACGAUAAACAAAUACUUAAACAAAUGCUACCUGCCCUCCAAAAAAUUCACAUAGCAAAAAAAACUAGUUGAUAUAUUUGAUGUGUCUAAGAAACAUAUUUAAGAUACAUUAAACAAAAUAGAAAUUUA
Molecule: long non-coding RNA, 2297 nt
Filed under: Homo sapiens (human)
Lineage: Eukaryota; Metazoa; Chordata; Mammalia; Primates; Hominidae
Description: HSALNT0296836
Source: RNAcentral